UGCACAGUUAUCUGUUAUAAAUCGACUCAGAUGAAUAUUCUAUUAUUUAGAUGUACAAUAUAAGGAAAAUACUAGAAAAUUAUGUCAAUUUUAUAUGAUAUAAUCAAGAAGUUCUAUUUCUGUGAAAGGAUUACAUAUGAUACAUUGAACAAAAUUUAAUUAUACUACACAAUUCAUAUUAUUUCUACGGAAAAGGAAUCUUAACCUCACAAAUAAGGAAUUUUAUCCAUUAUCAACGUAAGUAUAGUUGGUGACCCCCUGGCUAAGGCUUCGCGACCCCCUUAGGGGUCGCGACCCACAGAUUGAAAAACACUGCGUUAUAGUAUGCCUCGACACUGUUUCAGAGAACAUCAGUUGUGAGUUUGAAGUUCAAAGGUGCUAAAGUGUUAAUUCUAUAAAUAAAUGCGGACUGAGAGUCAGCCGCCAGUAACAAAUAAAUAUUUUGAAACUUGUUAUUUUUUAUUUCAUGAAAGUGUACUUCUAAAUAGAAA
Molecule: long non-coding RNA, 491 nt
Organism: Diorhabda carinulata
Lineage: Eukaryota; Metazoa; Arthropoda; Insecta; Coleoptera; Chrysomelidae
Exons: 3
Source: RefSeq, a predicted model, not a curated record